This 465-nucleotide ribosomal RNA is filed under the name uncultured bacterium. RNAcentral's name for it is "partial 16S ribosomal RNA". It matches the Rfam family "Bacterial small subunit ribosomal RNA", at positions 28 to 507 of the family's 1533-position model. The record is from RNAcentral.
GACGAACGCUGGCGGCGUGCUUAACACAUGCAAGUCGAACGGAAAGGCCCUGCUUGCAGGGUACUCGAGUGGCGAACGGGUGAGUAACACGUGGGUGAUCUGCCCUGCACUUCGGGAUAAGCCUGGGAAACUGGGUCUAAUACCGGAUAGGAGCCAUUUUUAGUGUGAUGGUUGGAAAGUUUUUUCGGUGUAGGAUGAGCUCGCGGCCUAUCAGCUUGUUGGUGGGGUAAUGGCCUACCAAGGCGGCGACGGGUAGCCGGCCUGAGAGGGUGGACGGCCACAUUGGGACUGAGAUACGGCCCAGACUCCUACGGGAGGCAGCGGUGGGGAAUAUUGCACAAUGGGCGCAAGCCUGAUGCAGCGACGCCGCGUGGGGGAUGACGGCCUUCGGGUUGUAAACUCCUUUCGCUAGGGACGAAGCUUUUUGCGACGGUACCUAGAUAAGAAGCACCGGCUAACUACGUG